Molecule: ribosomal RNA, 381 nt
Filed under: uncultured eukaryote
Lineage: Eukaryota
Description: partial 18S ribosomal RNA
Rfam family: Eukaryotic small subunit ribosomal RNA
Source: RNAcentral
CAAUAGCGUAUAUUAAAGCUGUUGCGGUUAAAAAGCUCGUAGUUGGAUUUCUGUCAAGGACAACUGGUCCGCCCUCCGGGUGAGCACAUAGUUUGGUCUUGGCAUCUUGCUGGAAGCUGUUGCUGCACUUGGCUGUGUGGCGCAGCGUCAAGCACUUUCACUUUGAGGAAAUUGGAGUGUUUCAAGCAGGCACAUGCCUUUGGACACAGUAGCAUGGAAUAAUUAGAUUGGGCUUUUGCUCCAAUUUGUCGGUUACUGGAGCUGAGGUGAGAAUUAAUGGGGAUUGUUGGGGGCAUCCGAAUUUAGCCGUCAGAGGUGAAAUUCUUGGAUCUGCUAAAGACGGACAACUGCGAAAGCGUUUGCCCAGGAUGUUUUCAUUGA